Molecule: small nuclear RNA, 288 nt
Filed under: Microtus ochrogaster (prairie vole)
Lineage: Eukaryota; Metazoa; Chordata; Mammalia; Rodentia; Cricetidae
Description: 7SK RNA (ENSMOCG00000003570.1)
Rfam family: 7SK RNA
About the family: 7SK was discovered as an abundant small nuclear RNA in the mid-70s but a possible function has only recently been suggested. Two independent studies have found that 7SK RNA binds the CDK9/cyclin T complex (known as elongation factor P-TEFb). P-TEFb activates transcription by phosphorylating the C-terminal domain of RNA polymerase II.
Source: RNAcentral
GGAUAUGAGGGCCAUCUGGCUGCGACAUCUGUCACCCCAUUGAUCGCCAGGGUUGAUUCGGCUGGUCUGACUGGCUAGGCAGCUGUCCCCUUCCUCCCUCACCGCUCCAUGUGCGUCCCUUGUCCCUCCCGAAGCUGCACGCUCCCCUAAUAGAGGAGGACCCGUCUUCAGUCAAGGGUAUACGAGUAGCUGCAAUCUCCUGCUAGAAGCUCCAAACAAGCUCUCAAAAGAAGAACAAAGAAAAACAGACACAUAAAUACAUAAUAUACAGUUAGGAGAAGAACAUAU